GAUCAUCGUGCCAUAUUUAUGGCUUAAACAAUACUAGCUCUUCAUUUGUAACUCACUAGUCCUGAGUUUCUUGAAUUGAAAAUUAGACAGAAAGGGCACAGUACAAUACAUAAGAACAGAGAAAUGAAGACGAAGAAGAAAACCAUAAAAUUAUCAAAAUCAACAACUUCUUCAACUACUUGAACUGCCUCAUAUUGCACCUUUACUGUCAUGUUUGAUUGAUAAAUAACACAAAGUAUUGAAUCUUGUCAAUCACCUCCUAAACAGCUGCAAAUUUAAGAAAGUGAGAAACAUUGGGAUCCUACUCAAUUGCAUUAAAAAUAGCCAAAAAGUAAUCAUAAGAUAACUACGUCUCAGUCACAAAUAAGCUAGGGUGAGCUAUAUAAAUCAUGACUAUUCAUGUUCCCCAUUCAAAACCAUAUCAAGCAAACAUUUUAUAAAAUAAAAAUUAAAAUGAAAAAUACUACUUCAGGAUAUCUCCUAUACUAGCAUAGAAAUCUCUAACAAGGUGUAGUUGAAAUUUGUGAGAAAUACUCCUCUUUAAAUUCCCAACAAAAAACAAAAAACUUAUUCAUGAUGUUAGAAAAUGGCAUUUUUAUGACAAUCUAGCUGAAUCUCGUCAACCCCAUACUAAACCACUAGACAAAUUUUCUUACUACAAAUUGUUCUAAAAACCAAAGAAACAGCUCCUGUGAAUUCAUUUCAAAAGCAGAAAAUUGAAACUCGAAAAAUGUCACAAUUUACUAUUGUCUUCUUCCUACUGUAAACACAUCCGUUUAACAAAAUCGGCAAAUUCAACAACAAAUAGUAAGAAAAAACUAUAAAUUGAAAAGAAAAAAUGACUAGCAAACUUCUGACAAUAUUGAUUUUGAUGGGAAACAUAAGUAAAAGUACCUGAAUAAGAAGAUAAGAAGCCACGAGAGAGACGAGAGGGAGACCAGUGGUUGGUGGAAGUCCACGACGACGAGGACUAGUGGGCGGUGGCUGCUGGUUUAGGCGUUAGGGUUUCUAUGAUUUUGUCUUUUGAUUAUUUAGGUAUUAGGAAUGCUUCAGUUUUUGUCUUAGAGAAUAGACUAUAGACUAUAGAGACAGACGGG
RNAcentral lists this long non-coding RNA (1097 nucleotides) under Nicotiana benthamiana. RNAcentral describes it as "long non-coding RNA (NBEN_LNC042603)". The record is from RNAcentral. Lineage: Eukaryota; Viridiplantae; Streptophyta; Magnoliopsida; Solanales; Solanaceae.